Molecule: ribosomal RNA, 460 nt
Filed under: uncultured bacterium
Lineage: Bacteria
Description: partial 16S ribosomal RNA
Rfam family: Bacterial small subunit ribosomal RNA
Source: RNAcentral
CCUACGGGAGGCAGCAGUGAGGAAUAUUGGUCAAUGGGCGAGAGCCUGAACCAGCCAAGUCGCGUGAGGGAGUACUGCCCUAUGGGUUGUAAACUUCUUUUAUAUGGGAAUAAAAUGUUCCACGUGUGGGAUUUUGUAUGUACCAUAUGAAUAAGGAUCGGCUAACUCCGUGCCAGCAGCCGCGGUAAUACGGAGGAUCCGAGCGUUAUCCGGAUUUAUUGGGUUUAAAGGGAGCGUAGGUGGAUUGUUAAGUAAGUUGUGAAAGUUUGCGGCUCAACCGUAAAAUUGCAGUUGAAACUGGCAGUCUUGAGUACAGUAGAGGUGGGCGGAAUUCGUGGUGUAGCGGUGAAAUGCUUGGAUAUCACGAAGAACUCCGAUUGCGAAGGCAGCUCACUGGACUGCAACUGACACUGAGGCUCGAAAGUGUGGGUAUCAAACAGGAUUAGAUACCCGAGUAGUC